This 801-nucleotide long non-coding RNA is filed under the name Rattus norvegicus (Norway rat). RNAcentral's name for it is "long non-coding RNA NONRATT026336". The record is from RNAcentral. Lineage: Eukaryota; Metazoa; Chordata; Mammalia; Rodentia; Muridae.
GUCCUUAUCCACACGGGUGAGUCUGCCGUGUUCAACACGUCCUUGUUCACUCUGGUGAGAAACCGUUUGAGUGUGACGUAUGUGAUAUGCGUUUCAUCCAGAAGUACCAUCUUGAACGCCACAAGCGGGUACACAGUGGCGAAAAGCCUUACCAGUGUGAACGAUGUCAUCAGUGUUUUUCUCGGACAGACCGAUUACUCAGACACAAACGGAUGUGCCAAGGAUGCCAGUCCAAGACUUCUGAUGGGCAGUUUUCUCUAUAGGCAGGAGGGGCCCUAGGUGGUGGGAGUGAUGAGGAGUGUCUCCUGAAGAGCAUGACCUGUGCUCUGACGUCCCACCACCACUCCCUCUGGACCUGUCCCCUUUCUAGAGGACUGGCCCCUGGCGAGCAGAAGAGCAUCUGAGGACAUCGGCUCCAGAGCCUCAGCUCUGUAACUAGUCUGGGACUAUGAGUGUCCCGGGGACACCUGCAGCAUUCCUGGGCAAGGGAGCUGGUCCCUGAACCUCAGCCGAGGUGAGGUGGGGACUCAGGUGCAGGACCAAGACUGAAGUGUUCCCACAACCUAGGACUGGAACUGGCAGCUAAAAUGGAAAGGACUGGGGAGGGGUAUUCGUUUGUUCUGCUCUUGUUUUUGUUUAUCCAAAAGCAGUUUCAGCAGGUAAACUGGAGACACAGGUAAUGUGGAGGGGUAAAGUCCUGAAGCACAGGGAGGACUGUGCUGGUCUGGCCGUUCCUGUUACUGUAGUCCCUCAGUGUUCCACAGCCCUGCACAGUACUUCCUCUUUGAAAGCAGGCAGGGC